AAGACUGGGAUAACUUCGGGAAACCGGAGCUAAUACCGGAUAAUAUUUUGAACCGCAUGGUUCAAAAGUGAAAGACGGUCUUGCUGUCACUUAUAGAUGGAUCCGCGCUGCAUUAGCUAGUUGGUAAGGUAACGGCUUACCAAGGCAACGAUGCAUAGCCGACCUGAGAGGGUGAUCGGCCACACUGGAACUGAGACACGGUCCAGACUCCUACGGGAGGCAGCAGUAGGGAAUCUUCCGCAAUGGGCGAAAGCCUGACGGAGCAACGCCGCGUGAGUGAUGAAGGUCUUCGGAUCGUAAAACUCUGUUAUUAGGGAAGAACAUAUGUGUAAGUAACUGUGCACAUCUUGACGGUACCUAAUCAGAAAGCCACGGCUAACUACGUGCCAGCAGCCGCGGUAAUACGUAGGUGGCAAGUGUUAUCCGGAAUUAUUGGGCGUAAAGCGCGCGUAGGCGGUUUUUUAAGUCUGAUGUGAAAGCCCACGGCUCAACCGUGGAGGGUCAUUGGAAACUGGAAAACUUGAGUGCAGAAGAGGAAAGUGGAAUUCCAUGUGUAGCGGUGAAAUGCGCAGAGAUAUGGAGGAACACCAGUGGCGAAGGCGACUUUCUGGUCUGUAACUGACGCUGAUGUGCGAAAGCGUGGGGAUCAAACAGGAUUAGAUACCCUGGUAGUCCACGCCGUAAACGAUGAGUGCUAAGUGUUAGGGGGUUUCCGCCCCUUAGUGCUGCAGCUAACGCAUUAAGCACUCCGCCUGGGGAGUACGACCGCAAGGUUGAAACUCAAAGGAAUUGACGGGGACCCGCACAAGCGGUGGAGCAUGUGGUUUAAUUCGAAGCAACGCGAAGAACCUUACCAAAUCUUGACAUCCUUUGACAACUCUAGAGAUAGAGCCUUCCCCUUCGGGGGACAAAGUGACAGGUGGUGCAUGGUUGUCGUCAGCUCGUGUCGUGAGAUGUUGGGUUAAGUCCCGCAACGAGCGCAACCCUUAAGCUUAGUUGCCAUCAUUAAGUUGGGCACUCUAAGUUGACUGCCGGUGACAAACCGGAGGAAGGUGGGGAUGACGUCAAAUCAUCAUGCCCCUUAUGAUUUGGGCUACACACGUGCUACAAUGGACAAUACAAAGGGCAGCGAAACCGCGAGGUCAAGCAAAUCCCAUAAAGUUGUUCUCAGUUCGGAUUGUAGUCUGCAACUCGACUACAUGAAGCUGGAAUCGCUAGUAAUCGUAGAUCAGCAUGCUACGGUGAAUACGUUCCCGGGUCUUGUACACACCGCCCGUCACACCACGAGAGUUUGUAACACCCGAAGCCGGUGGAGUAACCUUUUAGGAGCUAGCCGUCGAAGGUGGGACAAAUGAUUGGGGUGAAGUCGUAACAAGGUAGCCGUAUCGGAAGGUGCGGCUGGAUCACCUCCUUUCUAAGGA
RNAcentral lists this ribosomal RNA (1421 nucleotides) under Staphylococcus aureus. Its description in RNAcentral is "bacterial SSU rRNA". It matches the Rfam family "Bacterial small subunit ribosomal RNA". The record is from RNAcentral. Lineage: Bacteria; Bacillati; Bacillota; Bacilli; Caryophanales; Staphylococcaceae.